GGGGGCGACCGGUUUCGACGGGAUGGUUGCAACCCAAGCUGCGCGCCGAGGAAUCCUGCUUGGCCUCGUAAAACACGCGGGAAAAAACACAACAGCCAACCAAGACUUGGCUCUCGCGGCCUAAGUUGCCGCGACGUGGACACCCUGAAGUCUGCUAGGGGCUGUCUGCGUAAUAAAGCAGGCCCUGUUGGCGUCCGGGUGGCCGGGGCGUCACGCUUGUAAUUUCGUGGCCGCUGGCGGUAGGGGCAGUUGGCUCGGGGACGUUCCCUGCCGCGAGAUUAAAGCACGGGACACGCGCGUAGAUGCUUGGAGGAAGCCGUUUCGGACGGGGGUUCAACUCCCCCCGCCUCCACCA
This 355-nucleotide transfer-messenger RNA is filed under the name Kiritimatiellia. Its description in RNAcentral is "VGWG01 sp016873675 Standard tmRNA". It matches the Rfam family "transfer-messenger RNA". From Rfam's summary of the family: Bacterial tmRNA, also known as 10Sa RNA or SsrA, is named for its dual tRNA and mRNA-like properties. Lineage: Bacteria; Pseudomonadati; Kiritimatiellota. The record is from RNAcentral. RNAcentral also lists the same sequence under 1 other name.